GUGUUGUAUGAAAUGAGAGCUAGUUGACACUCCCUUGACAAGGAUGGAAGAGGCCCUUGAGCCCAACAACCCACAUAUGACUAAGGCAUUGAUCCCUUAGUCAUAACUUUAC
This 112-nucleotide non-coding RNA is filed under the name Meriones unguiculatus (Mongolian gerbil). Lineage: Eukaryota; Metazoa; Chordata; Mammalia; Rodentia; Muridae. The record is from RNAcentral.